AGGUAAAGUGUUACCAAAUCUGAAGCUGUUUUGCCAGUGAGGACACUAACCACAGGCAGUGACACAGGAUCAAAGGUGAGGCCAGAAGCCAUCUCAAGCACUACAGGAGAUGAGAGAACCUCCCACUGGGCUAAAGGAACUGGACAGAGGGCCAGCAACGUAACGAUACUUCCGGACUGUUUAAAAGCAUGGAUCCAGGAAAGGAGUAAUGCAACCUCCAGAAAACAAACCCAUGAACCCGUCACAUCAACCCAGAGCCCCCAGAGAAGUUAAUCCACCCACACGCAGGUUCAUCAUGGCCCAGACCGCUUACGGUAGGUUCUGAAGGGGCAAGUUCACCUUAAGCGAUUCUCACGUCUAACUGGGCGUGUUGGGAAUCACGAAACUUUCUAAACCUCAGAAUCAUUAUUAUGGUUAAAAAAGAAAAUCAGAUAUAUACAAUUAUUUUAUCUGACAUUUUUGUUAGUUGAAAUGGAUUGACAAACUGCUUUUAUCAAUUUAUAUAGCUGUUUUUACCUGUUUACACAGCUAAGUUCAUUUAAGUACUUCAUUUAAGGGCUCCUCAGUUUUUACCCAGCACUCAUUAUCCUGUAAACUGAAACUGGAUAGAUUGAAGGCCCCCUUCAGAGAAUGCAGUCAUUUGCUAAAUACUGAAUGAAAAUCUUUUUUUGGGAGUGACAUCUGGUACUCAUGGGAGAGAGUUCGACGUUACAUAAGACUCAUAUGCUUCUGCUGCUUACAGCAAUAACAAGAAACACACCGGAGACUAAA
Long non-coding RNA from Paramormyrops kingsleyae, 771 nucleotides. RefSeq lists it as uncharacterized. The record is from RefSeq and is a predicted model, not a curated record. NCBI's taxonomy places the organism in Eukaryota, Metazoa, Chordata, Actinopteri, Osteoglossiformes, Mormyridae.